GGCAGCAGUAAGGAAUAUUGGUCAAUGGGGGCAACCCUGAACCAGCCAUGCCGCGUGCAGGACGACUGCCCUAUGGGUUGUAAACUGCUUUUGUUAGGGAAUAAACCCCACUACGUGUAGUGGGCUGAAUGUACCUAAAGAAUAAGGAUCGGCUAACUCCGUGCCAGCAGCCGCG
Molecule: ribosomal RNA, 175 nt
Filed under: BTEX-degrading bacterium enrichment culture
Lineage: Bacteria
Description: partial 16S ribosomal RNA
Rfam family: Bacterial small subunit ribosomal RNA
Source: RNAcentral